AGAACGAACGCUGGCGGCAGGCUUAACACAUGCAAGUCGAGCGCCCCGCAAGGGGAGCGGCAGACGGGUGAGUAACGCGUGGGAACAUACCCUCCGGUUCGGAAUAGCCCAGGGAAACUUGGAUUAAUACCGGAUACGGCCUAGCGGCGAAAGAUUCAUCGCCGGAGGAUUGGCCCGCGUUCGAUUAGCUAGUUGGUGAGGUAACGGCUCACCAAGGCGACGAUCGAUAGCUGGUCUGAGAGGAUGAUCAGCCACAUUGGGACUGAGACACGGCCCAAACUCCUACGGGAGGCAGCAGUGGGGAAUAUUGGACAAUGGGCGCAAGCCUGAUCCAGCCAUGCCGCGUGAGUGAUGACGGCCUUAGGGUUGUAAAGCUCUUUCGCUAGGGACGAUAAUGACGGUACCUAGACAAGAAGCCCCGGCUAACUUCGUGCCAGCAGCCGC
Molecule: ribosomal RNA, 444 nt
Filed under: uncultured bacterium
Lineage: Bacteria
Description: SSU rRNA
Rfam family: Bacterial small subunit ribosomal RNA
Source: RNAcentral